This 31904-nucleotide long non-coding RNA is filed under the name Gossypium barbadense (sea-island cotton). RNAcentral describes it as "long non-coding RNA (GBAR_LNC001084)". Lineage: Eukaryota; Viridiplantae; Streptophyta; Magnoliopsida; Malvales; Malvaceae. The record is from RNAcentral.
ACCCUCAACUGUGGGGAGAAGAUGUGCAUCUUUUUAAACCAGACAGAUUCGCGGAAGGGAUUGCCAAAGCUACCAAUUACAACGCGGCUGCAUUUUUACCCUUUGGAUUGGGACCUCGAACUUGUGUUGGUAUGACCUUUGCAACCACAGAAACCAAGAUUGUUCUCUCCAUGAUCCUACAACGCUACGCUAUUACACUUUCCCCUGCCUAUGUCCACUCACCAAUACCUAUAAUCAGCCUUAAACCACAACAUGGAAUUCAAGUAAUACUCAAGUCGCUGCAUAUCGAUGCUUGAUGUUUCAUCUUUGUUGUCAUCAACAACAUGAAAAAUAUGGGUUUGAAUGCAUUUAACACGUAUUAUCCUUUAUUUUUAAGAAUUUAGAAUUAUGAAUACUUUACGCAUUAUAUAAAAAAAUCUACACAACCAUUAGAAAUUUAGAGUUUAAUAAAAAAUUUCUAUUUCAUAAGUCUAUUAUCUCUUCUUUUACAACCACUUUCUCCUUUUCUCUAAUAAAUAUAAUAAACUUUAAUUAUUUGUUACUUUCAUAAAUUUCUAAUAAAUUGAAAUUUUAUUAUAUAUAAAUCUAAUUUAACAUUCUUAAUAAUUUUUUUUAUUCUCACUUUAUUAUUAUUACUGCAAUUAAACACGUAUUUCACUAUUGAUUUUAAUCUCUUUUUUCUAUAAUUUAUCUCAAUUUUGUCCUUCUUAAUCAUUUACACACCAUGGGCCGACUCACACUUCUCCCUCAAAACAUUUAAGAACUAAGCAGUAAAAAGUAUAUUUAAUAACACCAUUGAAUAAUAACAAAAAAAAGUGCACUUUUUUAGUUGGAUGUAGUGUUUAACACCGCUAGUCAUAGCUGAGAUACUUGAUAGAGCGAAGUUGGCCGGACCGAGUUGGGUCCAACAAAAAUUCUAAAUCUAAACUCGGUUCGAAAAAUAAUUAAAAUAUUAUAUAAGUCUAAUUUAAAUAAAAAUGUUAAAAUUUAAGUUCGGUCUAAUCUGUUUGUAUUAUUUUUAAAUAUAUUUUUAAAACAUAAUACAUUUAAAAUAUUAAAAACAUUAAAAUAAAUAUUUUCAAUAAAUUGAAAAUAAAUUUUAAAAAAUUGUGUAUACUUAAAUAACAAUAAGAUAGGUGCAACUUAAUAAGGAAUUAUGAAAUACUCUAAAAUAGUAAUAAAAUUGACAAUAAAUCAAGAGUUAUAAAUAUCCAAAUAAUAACAAAAAAAGUAGUAGUAAUAUAAUUAUGAAAUUGUAACAAAAUAGUAAAAAACAACCAAAAAAUAGCAAGAAAACAGUAAAAAAAAAUAGAAGUUUCUUUUUUACAUAUUAGGGCCGGGCUCUGGCCAAAAAAGUCUUACCCGAAGCCUAGUCCGUUUUCUAAACACUUAUUUUUUUACUCAAACUCAUUUUUUGAGUUUAUAUUUUUAUUCAAAUCCUAUAACUUAAAUUUACCUUCAAGCCCAACUGACAUUGGAAGACUUGGUAGAUGAGUGCAAAACAUUCUACUUUGCUGGACAAGAUACUGUUAAUUCCUUACUUGCUUGGAUGGUCUUACUUUUAGCAAGUCAUGGAGAUUGGCAAGAGAAAGCAAGAAGAGAGGUGAUUGAGAUAUAUGGUAACCAAUAUGUUGAAAAAUGGCCAACCAUGCUGCUUAUGUUUUUGUUAAAGUACAUGCUACUAUGAUGAUUUUGUUGAGUGCAUACAGCUUGUAUGCAUGCUGUAGCAAUUAUGCAUGUUGCAGCAACAUAUUUUCUGUUUUAGUUGCAAUGUAAUUUAGUUUGGUUGAAAAUGAACUUUGAUGUUAAUGUUUUGAUGGGAUGACUGAGUUGAUAAAUCAGCUUAUCCAUGUGUACAAACAAUGUUUUAAUAAUCCCAAUCUUGAUUAGUGGGGUUAGUUGAAUAUUUGAUGAUGUAUUUUGACUAUAAAUGUAUUGUUUUCAUAAUGAAUGAGCAAGCAUAUUAGUUGUGUAAAGCAAAUUGCUUGCUUGCUGCACGUUUGUGAGCAAAUAAAUUAUUCUUUGUUUUUCCUCCUUUGUUCUCGGUAUUGUUCUCUUCUUUUACCGCUAUCAAAAACCCAACACAAUAUCCAAAUUCUGAAGGCUUUUCUAAACUCAAAAUUGUAAGUAAACUGUCAAACCCUUUCAAUACAUUGUGUAUACCAGGCAUUUAAAUCAGAGUCAUAAAGGCUUUUAGUACAUAAAAAAUCCUGUCUAUACUUCCAGUACAUUAAAUUCUUUAAUCUACUCUGACACAUUCCUAUUCUGCAAACAGAUGACCAUGAUUAUUAAUGAACCUCUAAGAUUGUAUGGUCCAGCAGUUGGCCUAUUGAGGAAAGGUGGAAGUGAAGUUCGGUUAGGAAAUCUAGUCUUGCCUGCUGAUAUAGAUAUUCUUAUUGCAAAUGCUGCACUUCACCAUGACCCUCAACUAUGGGGAGAUAAUGUGCAUCUUUUUAAGCCAGAGAGAUUCGCCGAAGGGAUUGCCAAAGCUACCAAUUACAACACAACAGCAUUUUGUCCCUUUGGAUUGGGACCUCGGACUUGUGUUGGUACAACCUUCGCAAUCAUGGAAGUGAAGAUUGCAGUCUCCAUGAUUCUACAACGCUACACCAUUUCCCUCUCCCCUGCCUAUGUCCACGCGCCAGUAUCUAUAAUCACCGUUAAACCACAACAUGGAAUUCAAGUAAUACUCCAGUCACUGCAUCAUGAUGCUUAAACCAUACGGCAGGUAAGGGCUCAGCGUUCAACUCAGUUUGGUCAUGUAUUCACCUUUUAAGAGAUGACAUUUCAUAGCUCAGGGGCUUUUGCAUUAGCAACCAAUUCCCUAUUCUGAAGUUAUGCGCUCCUUCAUGCAUAAAAAACUGAUGGUAAAGCGUGCAAUAAAUGAAAAUCAAAUACAAUUUAUCACUUUAAUAGUUUAUAUCCUCAUAAUUUUUAAAGGAUUAAAUCAAAUUUUUAUUAUUUUUUAAUAUUCAAGUUGGAGUUCUAUUCAUAUUUUAAAUGAGAUUAAUUUUUUUACCCAAACUCAAUUUUUGAGCUUAAUAUUUUUGCUCAAAAUAUAAAUAGAUGAUAAUUAUUUAAUUUAUGAGUAAAUAUAUAUUAAAAAUGUAUUAAUAAAAAAAGUAACUAAUAAAAAUCUACUUAAUCUUUCAAAAAGGCCACUCAAAAUCAACUAUUUGACCAAUAUACUCAUCAUUCUGUUCUUUAAUUUAAUCAUUUUAUUUUUUAUAAAUUUUAUAUUUUAAAAUUUCAAUCUUAAUUCAAAUAAUAACUAGUAAAUUUAUUAACAAAAAUAACAUAAUUUCUUUUAAUAUUAUUUGAAGAUAAUAAGUUAAGGUCACAUUACCAAUAAUAUAUUUAUUGUAUAAAAUUUUAAAAAUUUAUAAUAAAAAAAAUUUUGUAACAGAUUUUAACUUAAUUGUAGUAAGAAAUUUCAAUGGUUGUAUUGUGAUUAUUGUUUUUGCAGCCAUUGUUGACUAAUUGCAUUUGUGAUGAUGCAUGGUAGAUGGCUCCCAAUAAAAUAUUCAUAAAUAUAAAAAAUCGAGUCUUAUUAAUAUAGUUUUAAUUGAUAAAUUAUGUGUAAAGCCGAAGUUGGUAAUAUGUCAACUCAUUUUAGGUAGCACAUGUUGAACAUUAUAUUAUCCUUCACAAAGAUAUAUUGCUUUAUUACGGAAAAAUACAAAUUUUAAAAUUUAAAGAAAUAGGUCACAUAUUAUAAAAAUAUGUUUGGUUGAAAACGGUAUUUCUUUUAAAUAAACAAAUUUUGGCGUUACGGAGACGUGAAAACACUUCCUGCAUUGUGCGCUUUCGCCACAUGUUCCCACUAUCCCAAAAAUUUAUUAUUUUUUUAGUUUUUUAUGUUCAUAUAAUCAAUAUGAUGAUUGGAUUAUCAAAACAUAUCUACACAAUUUAAUUGCAAGAGCAUCAAGUGUUGUUGAACAUCAGUUAUGAACAACAGUUAGAAGAGGUGAGGUUCUUGCACGUGUCCCGUAUACUCGGUGAGACUAAAUUGAAGCCCACACUUAUUAGUGCUUUGCUAGAAAGAUGGAGACCCAAGACACACACAUUUCAUAUUCUGUAUGAUGAUGAUAUGAUUACACUCGAGGAUGUGACAUUAGAACUUGGUCUUUUGGUUGGUGGGCCAAUAAUUUGGGGAAAUUUGAAUAAAAACAAUACCAAAUAUAUUUAGUAAUUUAGGGAAUUUUUAAUAACUUCACAUUCUUCAACAUAUAAAUAGUGGAUUUAUGUCAUGGGUUGCAGGUCAAAGCUCAUGAUGAAUGCACACAGAGCGUCUCAUGGAGGUUAACUAAUUAAAUGAGACUCAUUUGACCCACUUGAACUGGCCCGAUUCGUGAAACAUAUGGAAAAACUCAUCUACUUGAAGCCUGGUGACCUAAUGAAACACUCAAGUAACAUUGGAGACAUCAGGGUAAUUAUUGUAAAUACUAAAAGAUAAAGAUGUAUGUCGAAACCCUUUUUUAUUUUAAAAACAAUGGGGAUCGACUUUGAAAACAAAAAUGUGGAGUCGCCACCAAUCUUUUGAUUUAGGUGUGAUUGGGCCACCUACUAAAACACUUUAUUCAAUGAAAAAUUGGUACCAAAUUGAUUUGAUGUUGUUCUUAUACCAAAAGGUCUUAAAAAAAAGAUUUUUCAAAGAAUGAUUUUUUUAAAAUGCUUGAAUAGUUCAAAUUAGUAGUCAAAAAUCUCUCGUUUUAAAGACAUGCAGUAUCAUACCCAGCACGAUUGGAUAUAAUCCCUUAUACCUUUAAAAACGCGAUUAAUUUUCGAGUUUUGAAAACUCAUACAUUAAAAUUAUAAAAGGUUAUCCAAAUAUUUGGUUUACCAGAAAAGUCAUACCCAGUACGAUUAAGCAUGAUUUUCCGAAUUCCCCAAAUAUUAGAUAUUGCCUUAUUUCAGAAUUUUUGAAUGAUAAAGGAAAUUAGAAAUUUGCUCAAAAACACAUUUAUUUGUUUUAAAAUAGAUGAAAUACUUAAUGCAUCAAGACAUAUAUAUAUAUAAAAAAGGGGUUAAUGAAUUUGAAAUAAUAUACACAAAGUACAAUAAACCUCACUUAAUACAUCUAACAAUUAUAUACAAUCAUUUUAAUUAUAAUGUAACCAAAAAUUCUUUAAGCAUGGAUAGUGAGUAAUUAAUACAAAAAUAAUAUAUACGAUAAUUAACAUGACACAAAAUAAAAUGAUGCACAAAAAAUAUGUAUGAAACAAAGUGGAAUUGGAAAUCAAUAUAAGACAUUUUCAACAUAAUGAUGAAUUGAUGAUCACAUAAUAUAUAUAUAAGUUGAUAAAUUUGCAUAAAAACUUGGGAUACAUGUUUAUUGAAAUAGUUAUUAUAAAAUAAAAAGUUCAAAUCAAAUUAUAUAUAAAAUAUUUAAAACACAAAUUCAUUCAAAAAUUGAUAAUUCACAUGAUAACUUAAAUAAUGUAUUAAAUAUGAAGGGAUGACAAUACAUGAUAUAAAAUAAUAUACAUAAUAAAUUUAUGAAACAUGUAUAUACAAGUAAAAUUGGGUAUAAUUAUUUGUAAAAAAAUAAAAUUUAUAAUGUAUGAAAGAAACAAAGUAAAUAUAUAAGUUAUAUACGUAACAGAAAUUUCUAAAAAAAACAAGGUCAUAUACAAAAGGCAAAAUUAUAUUUACACAUAAAUUUAGUGAUAUAUAUUUAUAAGAUUAUAUUUAUAAAGGGAAUUUGGAAACAAAUAAUAUAUAAUUUUACAUGUAACAAAUUGGUUUGGAUUGAUGGCACAUUUAAAUAAUACAUAUAUUAGGAUAAUAAAAUAAUGUAUACAAUAUAUAAAUCGUAUGAUUUAAAAUAUGGUCCUUAAAAAAAUAUAUAUUAUACACAUAAACAACUUUAAGGGCAAUAUAUAUAUAUAUAUAUAAAAAUAUUUACAUAAAGCUAUAUGAAAUUAAUAACACGUAUUAUAGUAAAAACAAUUUUAAUAUGUGUUAUAUACACGUAAAGACAUUUUUUAAAAUAAUUGAAUAUUAAAAUAAUAUAGAAUAAAAAAUAUGAAUUAUAAAAUUAACUUGAAAUUAGCAUAAAUUAUAUAUAUAAUAAAUAAUAUAAAAACGCAAUUAUAUACAAAUUUAUUAAAAACUAUUUGUAUAAGAAUAUCAUAGCUUUAAUAAUGGAUGUAAAUUAAAGAUAAGUACUAAACAUGUGCUUGAUGAUAACUUAAAGAAUACAUUGAAUAUGAAGAAAUAAUAAUGCAUGGCAAGGUAUAGUACACAUAAAAUAAACGAAUAUAAAUAUUAAAAAUAUGUAAAUAAAUUUAAAAGAAAUUACAAAACGACAUAAAAUUACUAGCAUGCACAAACCAAAAUGAAUUAAAUUACAAAUAAAACAUUGAUUAUUAAAAUUGGAAUAAAAGAGAAAAUAUUACAAACUUCAACUACAGAAAACAACACAAAAUAUCACAACUAAUAAUUAAGCAUGUAAAAAAAAUGUAUGUGCAGUAAAUAAAGAAGAUAAGAUUUAAUUGAAACAAAAUUAAAACAGGAAAAGCAAUUUACAAAUAAGAUAAUUAUAAAAUGGGAUCAAUAUGCCACACGCGCAAGUGUGCUGGGAUUCGAAUUGAAAAUAUCCUGCGCCCACAAUACUUUACUAGACUGUGGAUCAAAAUGAAAAAACACACAAAUUAGAAAGCUAAAUUUUAAAAAAACGAGUAAGCGAAUUGGGUGCUAAUUGAAAGGUUCGCGAAAAGGGAAGGAUUUGUUGCAUAAAUAGACCAUUUUAGGCUCAAAAGGCCCCCCCAUCCUUCUUACACGGUGCCGUUUUGCUUAAUAUGUUAUUAAAAACCUUUCUUCUCCCAUUUUCUUCUCCAACGCAGCCACCCACUUAUACCAAAAGAAAUUUCAGCCCUAAAAACAAUCCUUUACUGAACUGCCGAACCACCAUGAUUUUGGUGAUCACCAGUAAGCAAGCAACGCCCAAUCUUGCUGUUAAAGAUGUAACAGCCCGAUUUUGGGCCUAGUCGGAACAGUGGUUUCGGGACCACUAUUCUGACGCCAGAGAAAAUUAUUUUAGUAUUAUUUUAUGUGUUAUAAUAUGAUUUUAUAAGUGCAUGUUAAUUUUGGUAUAUUAAUUUUAGCGAUUUCUAGUCCAAUUUCGAAAAAGGACUAAAUCGCGUAAAAAGUAAAAAUUGUGUUUUAAUACCUAAAGGUGUUAAAUUGCCUUGUAUCUUAAAUUGGGGGUCUUUAAAGUGAAAUUAGGCCAUUGAAAGUGUGAUGGCCGGCCAUGGGAGACAAAAUAGUUGAAAAGUCAAAAUUGAACAAAAUAGUUUUAUUAUUAACAAAUAAUAAAAAAAAGAAAAAGAAAAAGCUAUCAUUUUUCUCUUCCCCUUCACAAAAAUAUGCAGCACAGAAAGGGUUUUGAAGUUGGAAAAUUUCAGCAACAUAUUUCCCUUGCUUGUAAGUGAUUUUAAUGUCUUUGCUUGAUGAUUUUUGUAUUUUUGGAACCCCUAAAGCAUAAGCUUUCAUAAGAGGGGAUUAUUUUGCAAAAUGAUGAAGAGUCUAGGGUUUUACCAUGAGAGUAAAUGUGUUGUUUGCUGUGUUUUUAUGGAAGAUUAUGAGUUCUAGUUGUCUAAUAAACAACUUUUGUGAAAGAAAUUGCAUGAAAAUACCUUAAAAAGGGGUAAAUUGCUAAGUUGUAAAAUGAGUUGUAAAUGUGUAAAAUAGUUGAAAUUAUGAGUUGUUAUAGUUAUGAAAAUGGUUCAUCUAGACUCAAGGAGUAAAGAAAUGUGAUAAAAAUUAAUUUACGAGCAUUGGGGCAAAAGUGCAAAUAUGUAAAAGUUUAGGGGUCAAAAUAAAAAUUUGUAAAAAUAUGAUUUUUAGACCCAUAUGAAUAUUGUGACUGAUUGGUAGGCUAAAUGUGAUGUUAUAGAUGAUGAAAAUUGAGAUUUGGACCUAGAACGGAAAGAAAUCGAUUUAUGGACGAGUAUGUCUUUUCACCGUUGUGGUAUCGAGGUAAGUUCAUGUGUAAAUAAUGUAGCAUAAUUGUUAUUUUUAAGUUAUUGAUGUUAAAUAUAUGAUAUGCUGAUUUUUAUCAUGAAAUAUAUGCUUUGUGGUUAUUUUCGAAUAAAAUGCAAGUUAUGUGUAUUAUCUGUUAAAUAUAAAGUGCUACCGAGUAUUGGUUUCGGUAUUUUACGGAAGAUGGCAAGGAUAUGUGUUCGAGGAAAAUCCCGUUUGAACCUUAGGAAUAGAUUAGGAUACAAGUGACAUGUCACUAGGAUGGUUGAGCAUCCAAACUCGUUGAGUUGAGUCCGAGUUCACUUAUGGAUGCGAAUGUUCGAACUCGUUGAGUUGAGUCUGAGUUCGUGAGAUGUAACUAGGCAUCCGAGCUCGUUGAGUUGAGUCCGAGUUCACUUAUGGAUGCGAACGCCCGAGCUCGUUGAGUUGAGUCCGAGUUCACUUAUGGGCGGGUUACAUGGUAGCUUGGCUACAUAUGUGGCACUUAUGUGCAAACUUUUCAUGUAUCCGAAUUAUAUUCCGAUGUGUUCAAUGGGUAAAAUUCUACUCAAAUGGAAGAAUACUCGAGAUGAAAGGGACGUAUUGGUAAAUGUUGUGAAAUGGAUACUUUGAACAGGUAUGUACUUAACCCUCGUGUUGAAAACUCGACAUAACAACAAUAUGGUAAGAUGGUAAAUGAAAAUGUGAUAUGAAUGUCUCGGUGAUGAUUAUACAAACGAUGUUGUAUUAAUUUUGUGAACAAUGAUCAUGAAUGAGUAAUUUAGCCUUGACAGAUUUGAGUUACUGCAGUAGUGUAACUUUGAAAAUACACUAAAAAUAGUGGAAAAUAAGUUAGAGGCAGAAUAAAAUAUGGGAUUAAAGCUCAACGAGUCUAUUUUCACAUGAAAGAAACAGAGAAGAAAAAGAAUUCCAUAUUGUGUGAUAUUUGAAUUCUUGUGAAACAGGGUCUGAAUGAAUUCGAGAUCCCCUAUUCUAACUUUAUAAAUUCACCAAAAAUUUUACAAAAAUUUUUAAGAGUUAUACCUUACAUGCAUAUAUUCAUUAUUGAGUCUAUUUUUAUGGAAAAUAAACGGCAUGGUCGUUGGAAUUUUGUACAGGGAGAAAUUCGGUUUGUAGUGCACAGGGGUCAGAGUGGUCAUACCCUGAAAUAGGGGAGACUUUAACUAAUAAACUGUACUAUUUGGCUUAACCAAAAAUUCUGGAAAUUUUAUGGAAGAAAUUAAAAUAAGUCUAUUUUUAGGGAAAAUUAACGGAACUUAAUUCGGAGUUUAGUAGCUCCAGAUAUAAAUAAUUUAGUGACUGUUGCUCAGGAAGACAACUUGUAGUGAACUUGAGAAUAUGUUGUAAACAUUGAUAAAACAAGUUAAUGAGUUGCUUAUUGUUUUCAUAUGAACUUACUAAGCGAAAGCUUACCCCCCUUCUUUCCCAUGGUUUUUAGAGUUUCCAGGUUAGCUCGGGUUGGAGGCCGUCAGAGAUAUUAUCACCCUAUCGAGUUAACGUUAUCGGAGUAAGUAAAAUCAAGUGAUUCGAGUCUAUGGCAUGUAUAGGGUUUUAAUGUGAGUAUGUAAUAUUAUGAUCUAGCCAAAGGCAUUGGCUUGUUAUUAAGGUAGUGUUAGUUAUGUAAAUUGGCCUAUGUCGGCUAAUAUCGUUAUGGGCCCAUAUGAUUAUUCUUAUGCAUUUAUGUUAUUAUUUCUUGUGAUGUGGCUUACAACAUGUAUGCCUAGAGAUUGAAUUGAGAUUCAUCGAUGAGCUAGUAACUAAUGCAGGAUUAAGUGAUUGGUAAAUAGUUAAUAAUGCUUCAUGAAUGGUUUGUGAUGUAAUGAUAGUUAUGUCUAGUAUGUGGUAAUGAUAUGGGCAAAUUCUAUAAUAUUUAUUGCAUAAGAAAAUAACUUGAGCAUAACAUGUUUGUAGAUGUUUAAGAGCUCAUUUAUGUCACGUUGUAUGUUAUUGGAUAAGUAUGUAUCUAUGCAUAUGGUGUGAGAGUGAUAAAAGGCUUAAUAAUUAGCCUAUUUCUGGCCACACGGCCUGAGCACAUGGGCGUGUGAAGCCUUAACGCAAGAAAUUUUUUUAAGUUUUUCAUGAGUUCUCGAUUGGGUCCCGAACCACUCCAGAUGUAUGUUUUGGGCCUCGUAAGCCCGUAUAUGGGACAGAUUGUAUGUGAAAAGAAAAGUUUUUAACUAUUUGAUAUUUCAUGGCCCUGUUUAGUAUGAAAGUGUUAGUAAAAGUCAGGUAGCACCUCGAACCCCGUCCCGGCGUCGGAUGCAGGCGAGGGGUGUUACAUUUAGUGGUAUCAGAGCAUGGUUUAGUCGAUUCUCGGGCUAACCUAGCGUAAGAGAGUCUAGCUAUACAUGUCAUAGUAUUACUCGUGAUAGUGUGAUAUCUCUCGGCCCUAACAAAACUGUUGAUUAAGACAGGAAUGAGUUUCAACCGAGCAAAUCUUGAUAGAGAUAAGAGUAAAGUUGAGAUUAUUGAAUCAUGCUUAUGAUAUGCUGAAAAUUGGGAAAGGUAUGAAAAGAAAUCCAUGAUUUUUUUUAUAUGAACUAGUUUUCAUUAUGUGAUACUCUUGAGAUAAAGAGUGUGAAAUAGUGGAGUAAAACACAGUUAAGUUGUGAAAAAACGCUUUUAUGCAUGUUAGUAUUCAUACGAUGUUAAAUGUUCAACUUGAUUUGGCCAAGUGUUUAGGAAAAGAAAGAAAUUUGCUUGAAAUGACAGAAUGUAUGUAUGAAUGCUUUUAUUGCAUGAUUAAUAAUCAAUAUAUACAUGAGGUUGACAUUUAUGUCUAGAUUGAUGAAGUCAAGAUGCAGUAAUGUUAUGCUUUAUAAUCUCAGUUACAGAAUCAUAAAUGUCACAAUAGCAUGAAAGUUGUAAUGAAAGAUCAAAUUGGGUAGAACGCAGGGAAUGAGUACGAUCGUUCACUAAUGAAUUGAUGGAAAAGACCAUGGUUGGACCAUGGCAAUACAUGAGAUUUGUGUGCCAGUGUAAGACCAUGUAUGGGACAUGGCAUCGGCAUUGAGACGAGGGCUAGUGUAAGACAUGUCUGGGACAUGCAUCAGCCACAGUAUGAGAGCCAGAGUAAGACAUGUCUGGGACAUGCAUCGGCCUUGAGAUGUUAGCCAAUGUCAGACAUGUCUGGGACAUGCGUCGGCUACGAGAUGUGCUAAUGUAAGACAUGUCUGGGACAUGCGUCAGCACGGUUACAUGUGUCAGUGUAAGACCUGUCUGGGACACGGUAUCGAUACAGAUAGAUGAGAGCUAGUACAAGACCAUAGUUGAACUAUGGCAUCAAGUAAACGAUGUACUCAAAACCAUAAGACGUUCUCCAAUUUGAUAAAUAUUGGCAAGUGAUUAAGACUAAAUAUGGGAAUUUGAUAAAACAUUAAGGGUAAUUUGAAAAAAUGAAAUGAAAGUUUGAGUUAUGAUAAAUUCAUUUAUGUUUAGCUAAUAUUCGCACGAAAUAAAGUUGCAUGUAUUACUGAGAUAUGUGAAAAUGUGUUCAUAACAAGUUGGAAAUUUGAAAUGUUUGAAUCAAUAUGCGUAAAGCUAUAUUGUUGUUGAAUAUGUAUUUGCUUGAGAGUCAAAAGUUUAGAGGCUUUACAAUCUUCGCCCCCUUACCAGAAUAGAGUUAUAUGAUGAGAUUCUCGAGAGAUAUGUUGCAUAAGCUUGCAAAAGUUAAACUAAAAAGUAUAAUAAUGGAAUAGUAUGGGAUUAGUGAAGACAGAAUUAGUUAGAGGAAUAAUGUCGGACUUGCACUGAUGUUUGAGUAUGUCGGAUUCAAUCAAAUAAAAGUGAUGGCUAUCUUUCUCUUCUGAGUAUUCUAUGUUUUCCUCAAUUCUGGGGAAUACGUAUGGUUAUCCCUUUCGAAUGGAAAUUCUAUCAUACGAGGAUGCUAGUGACUGUGAUAUUAGAUGAAAAGCUCUAUUGGUCCAGUUAGUUAUAAUUGACAUUUUCCCCAUCUCUUCAGAUUUCUAUUCUGAUAUAUUGGAAUGAAGUUGAUAGUAAAAAAAAAAAUCUAUGUGAGAUUAUUCUGAUGUUCUAUUGAUUAUGGUUUAUAUAUGCGAGAAUUAUAUUAUCUCUAUUAUGAGAAAUUCUAAAGCGUACAGACAGUAGUUUCCUUCUGGUUUUCUCUAAGGGAUUUUUCGGAUCAUAUUUAUUAUUUUCUUCUGGAUUAUAUUCUCGGAUUUCUGGUGUAGUCUUUGUAUCUUGGAAUUUCUUAUAUUGGCUUUUCUCUCGUUCUUGUUUCGAGAAUUAUCAAGCUUGGCUUAUCUUUACGAGUAAUCUUUGACUUGCGAUAUUAGAAUCUGUUAUGAUUAAGCUUUUGGCUCGACCAUAGAAGUGUGGGGAUUUCAGUGUCGAGAUUUCUUUAAAACUUCUGGGGUAAAGAAUGGUUAUUCUGCAAAGGUAAAUCUGAGUUAUGUGCAUUUAAGUUUAUUCUCUGGUUCGAGAAUACCGUUACGUGUUCUUUGGUAAGUAGUCGUACAGUCAGAAAUGAUGGGGUUUUAUUCUUGAAAGUAUGUUAUGGAAACAUAUUAGUUGGAUUUCUCUUGUUCGAGAGAUGUUAUAAGUAUAGUUAUCCUGAUUAAUAAAAAGACCACAUCUAUGAAGUUGGAAUCAUUUGAUUCAUGUUAGUAAAGUUUCUAAACAGUUGAUGAUCAGAGUAUAGAAAUGUGGCUAUAAGUGGUAAAUUAAACAAGUACAACAUGAUUCGACUUUUAAUUUGGAAUUGCAGGGAGGAUUUGAUUUCUGGUUUCUAUUACUAUUAAUUCAGAGUAAGAUUUCAGUACUGAGAAACUCUGGGUAUACAGAGAAUUGAGUAUAGAGUUCACAGCAGUAUCUUGUUUCUUUGUUCAAAGGAUGUCGAAUUGUCUAUAGGGUAAAGCCGAAUAUCAAAUGUAUUCGAGAUUAUUAUUGUCAGUGAUGACAGUGGGAAGAAAAUGAGAAAGGACUGUUAUGAAUUUCGUAUCGGGAUGUCUCUCAUUUCCAGGAAAAAGGAGAGAUGCAAGUUGAAUUGUGAAAGAUUGAUGAUGGAAGUCUGCAUGAUUAUUUUAGUAUGUACAGAUAUAUUAUUCAACAGAUGUGACUGAGUUGUAUGUUUCUGAGUUUAUAGUUCCAAGAAUGUCAGUCUCCAGUGAUUCAAAUUGAGCUCCGAAGUUUAUACCUCAUCUAUGGAAAAGCUAUAGGAAAUCUUGAGUAUGAGCUUGUGCAGAGUUGUUUUGUAAGUUGUGAGAAAACGAUAUAAGUGACUCAUGAAAGUAGAGAACAACUUUUUCUGGUAAGAUUUUCGAGGACGAAAAUCCUUAAAGGGGGAAAAAAUGUAACAGCCCGAUUUUGGGCCUAGUCGGAACAGUGGUUUUGGGACCACUAUUCCGAGGCCAGAGAAAGUUAUUUUAGUAUUAUUUUAUGUGUUAUAAUAUGAUUUUAUAAGUGCAUGUUAAUUUUGGUAUAUUAAUUUUAGCGAUUUCUAGUCCAAUUUCAAAAAAGGACUAAAUCGCGUAAAAAGUAAAAGUUGUGUUUUAAUACCUAAAGGUGUUAAAUUGCCUUGUAUCUUAAAUUGGGGGUCUUUAAAGUGAAAUUAAGCCAUUGAAAGUGUGAUGGCCGGCCAUGGGAGACAAAAUAGUUGAAAAGUCAAAAUUGAACAAAAUAGUUUUAUUAUUAACAAAUAAAAAAAGAAAAAGAAAAAGCUAUCAUUUUUCUCUUCCCCUUCACCAAAAUAUGCAGCAAAGAAAGGGUUUUGAAGCUGGAAAAUUUCAACAACAUAUUUCCCUUGCUUGUAAGUGAUUUUAAUGUCUUUGCUUGAUGAUUUUUGUAUUUUUGGAACCCCUAAAGCAUAAGCUUUCAUAAGAGGGGAUUAUUUUGCAAAAUGAUAAAGAGUCUAGGGUUUUACCAUGAGAGUAAAUGUGUUGUUUUCUGUGUUUUUAUGGAAGAUUAUGAGUCCUAGUUGUCUAAUAAACAACUUUUGUGAAAGAAAUUGCAUGAAAAUACCUUAAAAAGGGGUAAAUUGCUAAGUUGUAAAAUGAGUUGUAAAUGUGUAAAAUAGUUGAAAUUAUGAGUUGCUAUAGUUAUGAAAAUGGUUCAUCUAGACUCAAGGAGUAAAGAAAUGUGAUAAAAAUUAAUUUACGAGCAUUGGGGCAAAAGUGCAAAUAUGCAAAAGUUUAGGGGUCAAAAUGAAAAUUUGUAAAAAUAUGAUUUUUAGACCCAUAUGAAUAUUGUGACUGAUUGGUAGGCUAAACGUGAUGUUAUAGAUGAUGAAAAUUGAGAUUUGGACCUAGAAUGGAAAGAAAUCGAUUUAUGGACGAGUAUGUCUUUUCACCUUUGUGGUAUCGAGGUAAGUUCAUGUGUAAAUAAUGUAGCAUAAUUUUUAUUUUUAAGUUAUUGAUGUUAAAUAUAUGAUAUGCUGAUUUUUAUCAUGAAAUAUAUGCUUUGUGGUUAUUUUCGAAUAAAAUGCAAGUUAUGUGUAUUAUCUGUUAAAUAUAAAGUGCUACCGAGUAUUGGUUUCGGUAUUUUACGGAAGAUGGCAAGGAUAUGUGUUCAAGGAAAAUCCCGUUUGAACCUUAGGAAUAGAUUAGGAUACAAGUGACAUGUCACUAGGAUGGUUGAGCAUCCGAACUCGUUGAGUUGAGUCCGAGUUCACUUAUAGAUGCGAAUGUUCGAACUCGUUGAGUUGAGUCUGAGUUCGUGAGAUGUAACUAGGCAUCUGAGCUCGUUGAGUUGAGUCCGAGUUCACUUAUGGAUGCGAACGCUCGAGCUCGUUGAGUUGAGUCCGAGUUCACUUAUGGGCGGGUUACAUGGUAGCUUGGCUACAUAUGUGGCACUUACGUGCAAACUUUCCAUGUAUCCGAAUUAUAUUCCGAUGUGUUCAACGGGUAAAAUUCUACUCAAAUGGAGGAAUACUCGAGAUGAAAGGGACGUAUUGGUAAAUGUUGUGAAAUGGAUACUUUGAACAGGUAUGUACUUAACCCUCGUGUUGAAAACUCGACAUAACAACAAUAUGGUAAGAUGGUAAAUGAAAAUGUGAUAUGAAUAUCUCGGUGAUGAUUAUACAAACGAUGUUGUAUUAAUUUUGUGAACAAUGAUCAUGAAUGAGUAAUUUAGCCUUGACAGAUUUGAAUUACUGCAGUAGUGUAACUUUGAAAAUACACUAAAAAUAGUGGAAAAUGAGUUAGAGGCAGAAUAAAAUAUGGGAUUAAAGCUCAAUGAGUCUAUUUUCACAUGAAAGAAACAGGGAAGAAAAAUAAUUCCAUAUUGUGUGAUAUUUGAAUUCUUGUGAAACAGGGUCUGAAUGAAUUCGAGAUCCCCUAUUCUAACUUUAUAAAUUCACCAAAAAUUGUACAAAAAUUAUUAAGAGUUAUACCUUACAUGCAUAGAUUCCUUAUUGAGUCUAUUUUUAUGGAAAAUAAACGGCAUGGUCGUUGGAAUUUUGUACAGGGAGAAAUUCAGUUUGUAGUGCACAGGGGUCAGAGUGGUCAUACCCUGAAACAGGGGAGACUUUAACUAAUAAACUGUACUAUUUGGCUUAACCAAAAAUUCUGGAAAUUUUAUGAAAGAAAGUAAAAUAAGUCUAGUUUCAGGGAAAAUUAACGGAACUUAAUUCGGAGUUUCGUAGCUCCAGAUAUAAAUAAUUUAGUGACUGUUGCUCAGGAAGACAACUUGUAGUGAACUUGAGAAUAUGUUGUAAACAUUGAUAAAACAAGUUAAUGAGUUGCUUAUUGUUUUCAUAUGAACUUACUAAGCGAAAGCUUACCCCCCUUCUUUCCCAUGGUUUUUAGAGUUUCCAAGUUAGCUCGGGUUGGAGGCUGUCAGAGAUAUUAUCACCCUAUCAAGUUAACGUUAUCGGAGUAAGUAAACUCAAGUGAUUCGAGUCUAUGGCAUGUAUAGGGUUUUAAUGUGAGUAUGUAAUAUUAUGAUCUAGCCAAAGGCAUUGGCUUGUUAUUAAGGUAGUAUUAGUUAUGUAAAUUGGCCUAUGUCGGCUAAUAUCGUUAUGGGCCCAUAUGAUUAUUCUUAUGCAUUUAUGUUAUUAUUUCUUGUGAUGUGGCUUACAACAUGUAUGCCUAGAGAUUGAAUUGAGAUUCAUUGAUGAGCUAGUAACUAAUGCAGGAUUAAGUGAUUGGUAAAUAGUUAAUAAUGCUUCAUGAAUGGUUUGUGAUGUAAUGAUAGUUAUGUCUAGUAUGUGGUAAUGAUAUGGGCAAAUUCUAUAAUAUUUAUUGCAUAAGAAAAUAACUUGAGCAUAACAUGUUUGUAGAUGUUUAAGAGCUCAUUUAUGUCACGUUGUAUGUUAUUGGAUAAGUAUGUAUCUAUGCAUAUGGUGUGAGAGUGAUAAAAGGCUUAAUAAUUAGCCUAUUUCUGGCCACACGGCCUGAGCACAUGGGCGUAUGAAGCCUUAACGCAAGAGAUUUUUUUAAGUUUUUCAUGAGUUCUCGAUUGGGUCCCGAACCACUCCAGAUGUAUGUUUUGGGCCUCGUAAGCCCGUAUAUGGGACAGAUUGUAUGUGAAAAGAAAAGUUUUUAACUAUUUGAUAUUUCAUGGCCCUGUUUAGUAUGAAAGUGUUAGUAAAAGUCAGGUAGCACCUCGAACCCCGUCCCGGCGUCGGAUGCAGGCGAGGGGUGUUACAAAAGAAGCUCGACCAGAUCUAAAAGGACUUGGUAAGUACUUUUCCCCCUUUCUUCUUUAUUUGAAAAGCAACUCAAAUCUCAUGUUAUUUUCUUAAAAAAAACAAGAAGAAAUUCAUAAAAUACAAAGACUUUCAACAUUACUUGGCCUCUCGCCCUCACAUCCGCAUAGCAGGAGUAUUUGGGGCUCUCAUCGGCUUUCAAUCGCGUAAAGAAAAUGAGCAAACUAAGAAAAUCAAUUUAGAACAGUAAAAGAAAAGCAAAAAAAAGUGAAAUCACCUCUAUUAAUUUUCUAUUGCUUUUCUUCUAUUCUUUGUGAGUGUGCACAAAUACAGUAUGCAUAGAGUGUGCGUAAUCUCUUCGUGAAAAAUUUGCAGGUAAAAUUAUCGGCUUUUAUAGCCAAACUUACAGAGAAAAAAUAAAAAAUAAAAAUAUAUUUUAUUGGCUGUCAUCUGUUGUAUUCUGUUAGCUUCUUUCUCGUGUAUUCUUUAUAGGAUCAUCCGUACGGAGGAGCGGGGAGAGGCAUGCAUGAAAGAAGCCGUGUGAGGAAACCCUUCGUGAGACCCAACCUCCUGGCACUGUUCUGGCAUGUUCCAGAAGCUUCUGGUGCUUAGCUGCUGGAAUUCUUUUUGAAUUUGGGCUAUACGGGCUAGGGGUUUAUGAAUUUGGGUAUUUGGGCUGGUAUAAAUUCUUUAUCUGGGCCUAAAAAAUUUGUAAAAGGACAUUGGUAUUUGGAAUUUUAUUUGUGUGUUUUUUUAUUUUUGGUUUUUUAAUUUCUAUGUUUUUAUUCUAAUGGGCCCGGGCGAAAUGGGCCUAUUACAAUGUAUAAAGUGAAAAUCCCUAAGGACUCUCAUUUUGUAAAUAUACACUUCUCAGCCAUUUAUGUAAUUCAAUCUGUACCAUUGGAUUUGGGGGAGCUCAACUAUAAAUAGAGGUUUCCCCCCUCAUUUAUAAUCACUUCAUCCCUUGAAUUUCAUUCCAAAUAAGAGAAUACCUUUAAGAACUAUUAGCAACUACCCAUAUCUUUGAAAAGUGAAAGAUAUGAGUGUCAGAAAAUUUGGCACCGAAAAUCAAAACAUUUAAGGCACUGAAAUUUGGUUUGAAAUUUGGCAUGGGAUAAUUGCAAUUUUGGUCCCAAUUGUAUAGGGAUUUUUGCAAGUUGAUCCUUGAACCUCAACUAUAAAUAGGCCUAACCAUUUCUCAUUUUCUUCAUCCCAUAUUUGUUAUUCUCUACUUAAAGCAUUAUUCUCUCUCCCUAUUUGUAAAUUUCACUUGUAUUUUUGGAGUAAAAUAUAUUUGGUAGUGCCCGAGGACGUAGGCAAAAUUUUUCGAACCUCAUUAAAAUUCUGGUGUUCUUUAUUAUUUAUUUUUGAAUAUUUUGUGAGUGUGAUUGUAGUGAUUUAUUGUGCUAUUAAACUACGAUAGAGGGAUAUUCUGGCUAGGAAAGACCUGGUACUUAAGUGAUCCUCGUGAUCCACCUCUCUUUUCAGGGAAUUGAACUUAGUGUGAUUUUUUAGUACAAUAAUUUUACUCUUUUACACGCUUCCGCGCAACAAUUGGUAUUAGAGCUAGAUUUGUACUCGGGAAAUACGACCAUUUAGGACACUAUCCAUGUAUUCGGCACUGUUUACAUGUACAGUAGUUGGGAUCGAUGAGAAAAAAAAAUGGCAGAGGCAUCGUCAUCAGCAAGGACUACUGUGACCAAUGCAAAAUUUGAAUAGAGAAAUUUGAUGGUACCAAUAAUUUUGGUAUGUGGUAAUGUGAGAUCCUGGAUGUCUUAUGUCAACAGGAGCUGAAUAUAGCCCUUGAAGAAAAACCUGACAAGAUGGAUGACAAGGAAUGGGCCAAGAUUAAUAGACAGGCGUGUCGUACAAUCCGCCUAUGUUUGGCCAAAGAGCAGAAGUACUCUGUCAUGAGGGAGACAUCAGCGAAGAAGUUAUGGGAUACACUAGAAGAAAAGUUUCUAACGAAAAGUCUUGAAAAUAGGCUUUAUAUGAAAAAAACCUUUUUUGAUUCACGUAUGCUCCCGGUAUGUCGAUGAAUGACCAUUUGAACUCAUUCAAUAAAAUUUUAGCAGACUUGCUAAAUUUGGAUGAGAAAUUUGAAGAUAAAGACCAGGCAUUAUUGUUGUUGAAUUUCAUUCCUGAUGAAUAUGAUCAUCUGUUGAAUUUCAUUCCUGAUGAAUAUGAUCAUCUUACCACCACAUUGCUUCAUGGGAAGGACACGAUCACUUUUGAUGCAGUCUGUAGUGCGUUGUAUAGAUUUGAGACUCAAAAGAAAGAUAAAAGAAAUCACAGAGAUACAACUAUAGAAGUCUUAACAGUAAGAGGUCGUUUAUACAGCAGCAAAUCUGGUAGAAAGAGAAAGUCCAAAGGGAGACCCGCCAAAGAUGAAUGUGCCUUUUGUCGUGAGAAAGGGUAUUAGAAAAAGAAUUGUCCUAAGUUACAAAAGGGCAAGGCUAUUUCUAAUACAUGUGUAGCGGAGCAUGAUGAGGAGUCAAACUUUAGCUUGGUUGGCAUGGCACUGGCAUGUCAUACGGAUGAGUGGAUUUUGGAUUCAGGAUGUACUUACCAUAUGUGUCCUAAUAAGGACUGGUUUUCUAGUCCUAAAGAGCUAGAAGGUGGAGUUGUUCUUAUGGGUAAUGACAGUGCUUGUAAUACAAUGGGAGUGGGUACAAUCCAAUUGAAGAAUCACGACGGCUCAAUCCGAGUCUUGACAGAUGUUCGCUACGUACCUAGCUUGAAGAAAAAUCUUAUCUGAUUAGGGGCCCUAGAAUCUAAAUGGCUCAUAAUCACUUUGAGAGAUGGAUUGCUAAAGGUAGUAGUCGGGGAAUUAACGGUGAUGAAAGGCACAAAAAGAAAUAACUUGUAGUUUUUAAAUGAAAGUACAGUUAUUGGAUCAACAUCAACAGUUUCUGCGAAAGAUGCAGAUUUAGAGGUUACCAGGUUAUUGCAUAUGCGAUUGGGACAUGCUGGAGAAAAAGCUUUGCAGACUUUGACGAAGCAAGGCUUAUUGAAAGGUGUAAAUUCUUGCAAAUUGGAAUUCUGUGAACAUUGUGUUCUGGGCAAGCAGACAAGGGUAAAAUUUGGUCCAGUAAUUCACAAUACGAAAGGAAUUCUGGACUACGUUCACACUGAUGUAUAGGGAUCUACCAAAGUAGCUUCUUUGGGAGGUAUACACUAUUUUGUUACUUUUGUUGAUGAUUAUUCAAGAAAAUUAUGGGUGUAUCUAAUGAAAAGAAAAAGUGAAGUUUUGGAUGCAUUUCUAAAAUGGAAGAAGAUGGUGGAGACUCAGACUGGUCGAAAGGUCAAACGACUAUGAUCAGAUAAUGGUACUGAAUACAAAAAUGAUCCAUUUCUACGAGUAUGUCAAGAUGAGGGCAUUGUGCAACACUUUACUGUUCGGGAUACACCACAACAGAAUGGGGUGGCAGAACGCAUGAAUCAGACUAUACUGGAGAAAGUUCGAUGUAUGUUGUCCAAUGCUGGAUUAGGCAAGGAAUUUUGGGCUGAAGCAGUUACAUAUGCGUGCCAUCUAAUUAAUUGUUUGCCAUCAGCUGUAAUAAAUGGAAAAACUCCUAUAGAUAUGUGGACUGGUAAAUCUGCUACUGAUUAUGAUUCUUUACAUGUUUUUGGUUCCACUGCAUAUUAUCAUGUAAAAGAAUCUAAGUUAGACCCAAAAGUAAAGAAAGUAUUAUUCUUGGGUAUAACUGAUGGAGUAAAAGGAUAUCGUCUCUGGUGUCUUGAUACAAGGAAGAUUAUUUUCAGUAGAGAUGUGACUUUUGAUGAAUCAACCAUGUUAAAGUACAAGGAUUCAUAAAAGGAUGAUAAAACCAGCAGUACUUUGUAGCAGGUGGAGCUUGAAAAGGUUAAUGAUGAUCCAGCUAAUAUUGUAGGGACUAAUGAUGAAGAAGUUCCGACCCAAGAACCUUUACAGCAACAAGAUUCAAUUGCAUAUAGGAGGCCAAGAAGAGAGAUUCGUAAGCCUGCUCGCUUUGAUGAUAUAGUGGCCUAUGCACUUUCAAUUGCAGAUGAUGAUGUUCCGUCUACUUACACAGAAGCAAUAAGUAACACUAAGGUGUAAAGUGGAAGCAAGCCAUGAAUGAAGAAAUGCAGUCUCUUCAUAAAAAUAGGACCUGGGAGUUGGUGACACUGCCUAAGGGAAAGAAGACAAUUGGAUGCAAAUGGGUAUAUGCAAAGAAGGAAGGAUUUCCUAGUAAAAAUGAAAUUCAAUACAAGGCUAGAUUGGUAGCAAAAGGUUACGCUCAGAAAGAAGGAAUAGACUACAAUAAAGUGUUUUCUCCAGUUCUGAAGCAUUCGUUUAUUCGGAUUUUACUAGACUUGGUUGCACAAUAUGAUCUUGAACUAGUUCAGCUUGAUGUGAAGACCGCGUUUUUACACGGUGAUUUGGAAGAGGAAAUCUAUAUGACUCAGCCAAAUGGAUUCAAGGUUGCUGGUAAAGAAAAUUGGGUUUGAAAACUAACAAAGUCGCUUUAUGGACUGAAGCAAUCUCUGAGGCAGUGGUACAAGUGAUUUGAUCAGUUCAAGAAAGGGCAAAGGUACACAAGAAGUAAAUUUGAUCAUUGCGUCUAUUUUCAAAAGCUACAAGAAGAAAUUUUCAUAUACUUGCUCUUAUAUGUUGAUGAUAUGCAGAUAGCAUCUAAGAGCAAAGUUGAAAUUGAGAGAUUGAAGACUCAACUCAAUCUUGAGUUUGAGAUAAAAGAUUUAGUUAAAACUAAGAAGAUUCUUGGCAUGGAAAUAUGUAAAGAUAAAGCUCAUGGCAGAGUUAGAUUGUCUCAGAAGUAGUAUUUGAAGAAGGUAUUACAGUAGUUUGGCAUGAACGAGCAGACAAAACCUGUAAGUACCCCGUUGGCAUCUCAUUUCAAGCUUUCUGCACAACUAUCUCCUUCGACGAAUACGGAACGAGAAUACAUGUUGCAAGUUCCGUAUUCUAAUGCAGUAGGUAGCUUGAUGUAUGCAAUGGUAUAUACAAGACCGAACAUUUCACAGGUAGUUAGUAUAGUAAGCAGGUAUAUGCAUAAUCCUGGAAAAGGACAUUGGCAAGCUGUGAAAUGGAUUCUACGGUAUAUUCAGAAGGCCGUGGAUAUUGGAUUACUGUUCAAGCAGGAUAAUACACUUGGUAAAGGUGUUAUUGGGUACGUUGAUUCUGACUAUGUCGGUGAUUUGGACAAACGAAGAUUAACCACCGGUUAUGUGUUUACAUUGGCUGGAGAACCAAUAAGUUGAAAGUCUACACUACAGUUUAUAGUUGCGUUGUCAACCACAGAAGCCGAAUACAUGGCUGUAACAGAGGCUGUAAAGGAAGAGAUUUGGUUACAAGGUAUGGUUAAAACAUUGGGAUUGUUUCAGGAGCAUAUUAACGUGUAUUGUGAUAGCCAAAGCGCUAUUCAUUUAGCAAAGAAUCAAGUAUAUCAUGUGCCAAAACCAUUUUUUUUUUAAAAAAGGGAUCAAUUUUGGAAACGAAAAUGAAAGAACGGGAGUUGCCACCAAUCCUUUUUGAUGAGGUGUGAUCGGGUCACCGUUUUUAAUAAAUGAUUUGAUUUAUUUAAACAACGAUUUUGGUCCACGAAAUUUAGAAAAACGGGUUCGGGAGUCGAUUACGUACGAGGAAGUAUUAGCACCCUCAUAAGGCCCACAAUUGGUAACGCCCAAAAUUGGUACCUAGUUGAUUAAUUAAAAUCUUAGUGUCGAAAAUUGAAAACUUGAAAGACUUUAAAAUACGAUCCUUCUUUUUGUAAAAACACUCGAAUGUUAAAGACCUUCUCGUCUCCAAGUAAUGAAACGUCACAUCCAGUAAGUUAGGACACGACAUCUCGAACUUUUGAGAAUGAGCUUGUCUUUUAUUUGAAAUUCGUGUAUUUUAACUUUUUUUUAAAAGAGUAUUCGAUUAUUUAGAGUAAAUGAGAAAAAUCGAAACCCAGCAAGUUAGGGCACGAUAUCUCGAACUUCCAAAUACCGGAUAUUGCCUUUGUUUGCAAAAACCUCAUCUCGAGGUGACAAGAUGUCAUAUCUAGCAAGUUAGGACACAACACCUCGUAUCUCCGAGGAUAAGUAUUUUAUUCAAAACUCGUGUUGUGAUUUAAGAAGAUUAUGUCGUUAUUUAGGUUAAACGAGAAAAAUCGAAACCCAGUAAGUUAGGGCACAAUUUUCUCAAAUUUUCUAAAUACGAAGCUUGUUUUAUUUUAGAAAACACAAUUGUAUGCGUCGAGUAAAAAACUAAUGUAAUCAUAAUUACAUGGUGAAAUAAGAAAACAAAUUGCAGCAUUAAUAUGCAUAAUAAAAUAAUAAUAACAAAGGUGAUGAUAUAAACACAAUAAUAGUAACGAAUAACAUAAACUUGCAGAUAUAUAGAGACAUAUAUGAAUAAAUGAAUAAACAUAAUGAGAUAAUGAUAAUGAGAACAAAACGAAAUAAAAAUGAAAUAAAUACGAUGAUAAAUGAAAUAAUAAAGCAAAUUAUAGUGUAAAUUUAAUUUUAAAUCGGGGAUAAGCAAAUGAACAUAUGAGUAAAGAAAUAGUGAGUGGAAUUGUUUUUUUUUUUCUUUCUUUCUUUUUUUAAAUAAUAAUAAUAAUAAGGAUAAUAAUAAAUAUUACGUAAAAUGUGUAACGAAACUUGUAAUUUAAGUAAAAAAUGAUAAAAUGAUAAUAAUGGUAUAAAUAUAAAUAAGUAUUAUAUGAAACAAAAUAAUGAUACAAAAUAAUAAUAAAAAAUUCAAAGUUUGAUAUUACAUAAAAGUAUAAACAAAUAAAUAAUAAAAUAAUAAAAUAGAAACAACAUAUUAUAUAAAAACGUAAAUAUAUAAAAAAAACUAUAAUAAUAGUAGUAGUUAUAAUAAAAGUAAUAAUAAUACUAAAUAUAACAAUAGUAGUAUUAGUAAUAAAAUAAUAGUGAUAAAAAUAAAAAUAAUGACAAUGACAAUAGAGAGUAAUGGCAAUAAUAAUAAUAAUAAUGAAAAUAAGAGUAAUAUUAGUAAUACAUUAAAUUACAAUAGUAAAGUAGUAAUAAUAAUAAUAAUAAUAAGUUAAAUUAAUUAGUAAUGAAGUAAUAAGUAAAUAAAUAUAAAAAGGAAGGUACAUGAUAUAAUAACUAUAUGAAAUUAAUUAGUUUAAUAAUAAGAUGAUAAUAAUAGGGAUAAUAAUAAAAAUGAAAGUAAUAACAACAAUAUGUUAAGUUAUAAUAAUAAAGUAAGAACAAUGGUGAUAAUAAUGUAUUGGGUAAUAAUAGUGGAAUAAUAACGAUAAAUAUAAUAAUAUUAAACCAAUUAAUUUAAUUAAAAUAUUGAAUAUAACGAAAAAAGGGCUAAAAUAAAUUUAAAAUAAAAAUUCGAGGCCAAUUUAAAAAUAAAUAAAGACGAAAAUGACCAAAUCGAACCCUCAAACAAUGAAGAGGGGCCAAAUCGGGCAAUAGACCCUUUCUCCAAAACGCUUAGGAUCAAAUAGGACCCGAUUGAAAUCCAAGCACAAAUUCGGGGCGAAUUUAAAAGGAAUCAAAACUUAAUUGCAAAGUCAUAAAAAACGGAAGGACUGUGCGCGUAAAUAACCCAAAAACCAAAAACACGCGGAUCCCUGGAGCGGGUCGGGUCAAGGCACGGGUCCUAGGUGAAACGACGUCGUUUUGGGGCUUUGGACGCCGGCCAAAACGGCGUCGUUUUGAGUAGCUAUUUAAAUCAGAUUUUUUUUAAAAUUUCAUUCUUUCUCUGCUUUUUUAAAAAACACCCCUCUUCUCCUUUCUUUCUCUGCAGCAGCCCUUAGUCCGGCGAAAGUCCCGAUCGUUGGCCGUCGCGUCGGCCACCGUUCGCCAGCGAACGAUGCCGCCGUAUGCAGCGGCAAAAAUGCCAUAAAUCCCCCCUUUUCAACGAGAUCGAAGGUAAAUCCCCCUUUUUUACUUUUUAAACACUUUAUAUAUAUACGUAUAUUUAUUGAAAAGGGGAUUCAAAAAAAAGAAGAAAAAGAAAAAAAAAAGAGAUGAAAAAAGAACCUUUCUCACACUGUUUUUGGUCUUUUUGGCAGUUUUCUUGUUUGUUUAUUUGAAUCUAUUUUGGAUUGUAUUCCAAAAAAAAAAGUCCUUUACAAUGGAUUUUUGAAGGCUUUUUAUAGCCAUCUUUACACGAUUUUUUUAUUGUUUGCUGUCUCUUCUUCUUUAAAUCCUUGCAAGUGCAAGUGGCGGUGGUAGGUGGCUGACAAGCGGUGGAGUAGGUGGCUGACAAGGCUAGGGCGGCGGCUGUAGGCAGUGCAAGUGGGGUUAGGGUUUGGUAUUUUUUGUUUGACUAUGGUUUGGAUAUUGGGCUGCUAGGGGUUUUUUUAAUUUUAGGUUUGUUUUGGGUUUUGGUUAUUAGGCUGUAAUGGGUUAGUUGGGUAUUAAUGGGCUCGGGCAAAUUUGGGUACCUACAUCAUGCAUGUACAAAGCAUAUCGAUGUACGAUUCCAUUUUGUGCGGGAAAUUAUUGAUGAAGGGAAAAUUCAUCUUCAGAAGAUUAAGACUGCAGAUAAUCCCGCAAAUAUGAUGACCAAUGUGGUAAUAGCAAUCAAGUUCGAACAUUGUUUGAACUUUUUCAAUAUCCUGCAAGUUUAACAGUUAAAGAAUGCACUAUCAAGUAUUGUUGUCAAAGGCAGAAAGAAUUGUCUAAGAUAAGAUUAUCUUAAUCAAAUUUUCAAGGUGGAGAUUAUUAGCAACUACCCAUAUCUUUGAAAAGUCAAAGAUAUGAGUGUCAGAAAAUUUGGCAUCGAAAAUCAAAACAGUUCAGGCACUGAAAUUUGGUUUGAAAUUUAGCAUGGGAUAAUUGCAAUUUUGGUCCCAAUUGUAUAGGGAUUUUUGCAAGUUGAUCCUUGAACCUCAACUAUAAAUAGGCCUAACCAUUUCUCAUUUUCUUCAUCCCAUAUUUGUUAUUCUCUACUUAAAGCAUUAUUCUCUCUCCCUAUUUGUAAAUUUCACUUGUAUUUUUGGAGUGAAAUAUAUUUGGUAGUGCCCGAGGAUAUAGGAAAAAUUUGCCGAACCUCGUUAAAAUUUUGGUGUUCUUUAUUAUUUAUUUUUGCAUAUUUUGUGAGUGUGAUUGUAGUGAUUUAUUGUGCUAUUAAAUUACGAUAGAGGGAUAUUCUGGCUAAGAAAGACCUGGUACUCAAGUGAUCCUCGUGAUUCUCGUGAUCCACCUCUCUUUCCUGGGAAUUGAACUUAGUGUGAUUUUUUAGUACAAUAAUUUUACUCUUUUACACGCUUCCGCGCAACAAGAACAUUUACUCAAACACUUGGUGUGCUAUUAUUUCUUGUGGUUUUUCUAUUCGAUUCAACUUCAUUUGUCUUUUCGAGUUGCUUCCAUUUAGUUUCAGUGCCUUACAGAAUUUUCUAUGUGAAUUCUCAAUUUUCAAGAAUUAGGCUAACUUAAGUGGAUUUGAAUUAAAGAAAUUGCCUAAAGCCACACGGUUAGCCAUACUAAAGUUCUAACUCUGUGACACUUGCCUGAAAAAAAUAGUAUACUCAAGAAGAAGCUCUUAAAGCUAAGGUAAAUAAAGGUGAGGUUUUUUUUUUUCAUUUAUUUGAUAAACUACACCCAAGGUCAUUAAACUAUUAAUAAGUUUAUAUUUCAGUCACUUAACUUUAAAAAGUUACAAAAUCGUAAUUGAAAUAUUCAAAUUUUUCAUUUAAGUUAUUUGGACUAUUAAAAUCAUUGUUGUAUGACCUUCUCCAUUCGUAAUGCUAGCCUCAAUCGGAAGCUCUUCUUCCCUUUCUCUUCUACAAUUCAAUUUUUUUCAGAAAACAUCUUUAAACGUCAUGAAUUUGUGAAUCAAAAUUUAAAAAAAAACUUACUUCUCCAUUCUUUAACACUGACAGUCAAAUCAACUCUUCUACUCGACAAUAGAUAUUGAUCCAUUGUACUAAUCAUCGAAUCAUUACUUGAAGAUCAUUAGUUGGAUUUCUAUUUAAAAAAACACUUAACAACACAGUACUGACUUAAAAAAACUUUCAAACAAUUUAGUAACUUAAAUGAAAGCUUUUGAGUAGUUCAGUAACUAUUUUGUAAUUUUGAAAAGUUUAGUGACUAAAAUAUAAAUUUACUAAUAAUUUAAUGACUUUAGAUAUAGUUUAUUUUUUGCAAAUGAAUGAAACAAAAAGAGGUUCGAUUGACACUAGAAAUGAAAAGAAAAUGUAUAUUUUUUUAUAAAAGAACACUAAGUGGCUUUUUUUGAUUGGCCACCAAUUUUUUUAAAGUUAAAAAUUGGAUUAAAAUUUAUAAGGGAUGAUACUUUUAAGUACUAAAUUAAGUUAAAAAAAACUUUAAGUAGCAAAAUUACGGGUGAAUUAGACAAAAAUUAUUGUGAGAAUGGAGGUUUAGAGAGAAAUAAUGCUUCAUAAUUUUAUUCAUUCCCAAUAAGCAUGGAUAUGUAAUCAUUACAUAAAUUAAAGAAACCGCAAAUGCCAAAAUCACUCAACACGUAUAGCCUCCUAAUUCAGCUGAUGCUGACGCUUUUAAGGUCAACAAGGAAAACAAUUUCACAAGUAUGGCGUAAUAGACUGUUGUUUUCGCUAUAUAACUUUAAAAUGUCUCACGCAUAUGUCUACUUUGAACGAGAAAGAGGAUUGCAAAUGCAAUUUUGCUCCUUCGCCACUUUUGGACUGUUCCUAAUGAUGCUAUUAUGAAUGGGAAAAUGGUUAAAGUUUAGAGAAGAAAAAUGAGUGCCUUGAUGGAGCUUGUAACUAUUGUCCCAUGUUGUUUCUUCUUCAUAGCUUUAAUGAAGUUCCUUUAUGAUUACCUAUGGAUACCUCUCCGUAUACAGCGUAUGCUGAAUUCACAGGGGAUCAAAGGACCUCCUUACAGAUUUAUCCAUGGCAACAACAGAGAAAUCGCCAAAAUGAGACAAGAAGCAUCAAGCAAACCCAUGGCCUUGACGCAUGAUAUAUUUCCCAAAGUGCAGCCACAUAUUUACUCCUGGAUCAACAAAUAUGGUAAGAUCCAUGCAUGUUUUUCACUAUGGUUUCAAUCUUCUAGUCCAAAGAAAAGAUGGACCCCUUUUUUGCUUUUUGUUUGAUUAGGGAGAAAUUAUCUUCAUUGGGACGGUGUUCGAGCUGAACUUGUGAUUUCAGAACCUGAACUAGUCAAAGAGAUACUAAAAAAUAGUGAAAAAACUUUCCCGAAAAGGAAGCCUACCAUUUACCUUAGCAAGCUACUAGGGAACGGGCUUGUGACAGUUGAGGGUGGAAAAUGGGCGAAGCAGAGGAAGCUGGCGAAUUACGUUUUUCAUGGGGAAAGCUUAAAGGUAAACCCCUCGAAACAUGUGAUUAGUUGUAAACUAAUGUUAAAAGAAAUUUAUAUUGUUUUGGCAGAACAUGACACCAGCUGUAAUUGCUAGCGUUGAAACACUGCUAGAGAAAUGGAAAGGCCAAGAAGGCAAAGAGAUUGAAGUGUUCAAUGAAUUUAGAUUAUUGACUUCAGAAGUGAUAUCAAGAACAGCUUUUGGUAGCAGUUACUUGGAAGGAGAGAAGGUUUUUGCCAUGUUGAACAAGCUGUCAAUAAUUAUGAGUCGAAAUCUUUAUAAUACUAGAAUUCCUUUAAUCAAGUAUGUUCCCUCUAAGCUUAAUUAAUCCAAGUUUUUCCUUAAUUGUGUUUUCAACGCCCAUGGAUUUAUUUUUCUCCUUAGAUAUGGCUAACAUUAGUUUUCUCUUCUAGCAAGUUAUAGAAACCUGCCGAUAUGCUAGAGUCUGAAGAACUUGCAAAAGAAAUACAAGAUUGUGUGAUGAAGAUUGUUAAGAAAAGAGAAGACAAAGUUGUGAAUGGAGAAGCUGAUAGCUUUGGCAAUGAUUUUCUAGGAUUACUUGUAAAUGCCUAUCAUGAUUCGGACAAAAAUAACAAGCUUUCAAUGGAAGAUCUGGUAGAUGAAUGCAAAACAUUCUAUUUUGCAGGACAAGAUACAGUUAAUGCCUUGCUUGCCUGGACAGUCUUGCUUUUAGCAAUCCAUGGGGAUUGGCAAGAUAAAGCAAGAAGGGAGGUGAUUGGCAUAUUUGGUAACCAAAAUCCACAACCGGAAGGCAUUGCAAAACUCAAAACUGUAAGUAGACUUUCUAACCAUUUAAGACCGCAAGCAUUGUGUUACAGUCAAUAUUUUGUAGUUUCAGCUCUUUCUACAUUGAUAUUCAUUGCUAAUAUUUACCACAAUUAAUUGCGAUAACAUCCAUUAUAUACAACACUGCCAUAAUUUAAAUCCCUGGUGUAUGCUAGCAUGAGUUUAGAACAUUAGAUUAUGUGAUGUUAAUCUUAUAUAUUCUUAUUCUGUAAACAGAUGACCAUGAUCAUUAAUGAAACUCUAAGAUUGUAUAGUUCAUCAAAUGGAAUGUUGAGAAGAGUUGGAAGAGAUGUUCAAAUGGAAAAGGUAGUUCUCCCUGCUAAUAUAGAUCUUCUAAUUGCAAAUGCUGUACUUCACCAUGACCCUCAACUGUGGGAGAAGAUGUGCAUCUUUUUAAACCAGACAGAUUCGCGGAAGGGAUUGCCAAAGUGUUAGGAUCGUCCCGAUUAAGCAACGAAUAAGUAAAAAUAGUAGAAGAAAUUGAGAAGAUGAACACACAAAUUUAACGUGGAAAAACCCCUCAAAAGAGGAUAAAAAACCACGGGCAAAGAUAAUUUUACUAUAAUGGCAAAAGAAUGAAGAGUACAAAAGAUGGAGAUAAAAACUAAACCCCGAAAACCCGAAAAACAAAGAACCCUCAAACGUAAACACAAAAUUCUCUGAAUGUGUUAUGAGUUCUAAUCUAAUGGGUGUCUCUUAAUUCUAAGAUUGUAAAGGAGCCUAUUUAUAGGCUAAAUUAGUAAGUCAAAUAAACUAUACUAAUAAAUGCUAAAUAUAUUAUACUAAUAAAUACUAAAUCUUCUAGAAAGAAAAUAUAUUUUUGUUUAACUUGACUUGCAAGCAAUCUCUUAGAAUUUGGGUCACACAAUUCUAACAAUCUCCACCUUGACACAAAUUCUUUCAAUGCCAUCUUUGCCAAAAACCCGCCACGGGCCUAUCUUGAACUAUGCAGGGAAUUAACUGAGUCGAAUCUAUGCUUAGAAGCUGGAAGACUUCUAGCCUUCGACUUGUGCACUGCCAAAUCAAAACUAACCCGGGUCUGAUUUUCACGAAUACAGUGCCCUAACUUUUCAAAACCUGCAUCCAAAAGAGAACCUCUCUUCAACGAAACGGUCAUACCUUUUUCCCUCCUCUGACCAAGUUGCCUCCGCUUCAAAUGAGUUGACUUUGACUCCAUAACGGGCGAGGGACGUCCGAUUUCACCGGUCACUGUAGAACCUUCCAGAAUAUAAAGACUGCCGGUUCUUUUACCUUUUAACAAAACGAGAGCUCCACGAGAUACUUUAAUGUCGCUCGACUCGAUGUUGAUUCUGCAUCCUUUCAAGUCUAAAAUACUCAAGGAGAUAAGAUUCUUUCGUAAAUCAGGUACAUACCUGACAUCUGAGAGUAUCCUAAUCGUCCCAUCGUGUAUCCUAAUUUUAACAGUACCAAUACCGAUUAUUUUACUAGAUGAAUCAUUUCCCAUGUGCACAACUCCACCUUCAACUGAACUGUAUGUGGAGAACCAUUCUCUAUUGGGACACAUGUGAAAAGAACAUCCUGAAUCUAGGAUCCACUCAGACGUAAGCUUGGAGUUAUCGCUUGUUGACACUAACAAGAAAUCAUCACCGCCUUCAUCGACCAAAUUAGCACCAGCUACAUCUUCCUCGUUACUCUCAGCAGCUCUUUUAUUUCGCAGUUUAUAACAAUCUGCUUUGACGUGACCUAACUUUUUGCAAUAGCGACACCUUUUGUCUCGUUUCUUUGAUGCUACCAAAACGGAAGCUUGUCUAUCUGCUUUGCUAUUCAAAUCAAAUUCAUUGUCGAGUUUGUCUCUACUCAACAAAUGACCCUUCACAUCUUCGAACAAGAGUUUGUCUCUGCCAUAAAUCAGGGUUUCCCUGAAAGACUUGUAUGAAGAGGGUAAAGAGCACAAUAAUAGCAUAGCUUGAUCUUCAUCGUCAAUAUAAACCUCAACGUUCUUUAAAUCAUUUAAAAGAGUAAUGAAUUGACUGAUGUGAUCUUUAAGAAGCUCACCUUCGUUCAUGCGAAACGUAAAUAGACGUUGUUUCAACACUAAACGGUUAGCCAGAGACUUAGUCGCAUAAAGAGUUUCUAACCUUUUCCACAAGGCGAAUGAGGUCUUCUCCAUCAAUACCUCCUGCAAUACUGUAUUCGCGAGGCACAACUGGAUUGCAGACAAGGCCUUUUCAUCAAGCUCUUUCCAUUCUGUUUGAUUUAGAUUCUCAGGCUUUUUCCCUAUAACAACCUUUUUCAAGCCAUUUUGAACUAGAAUUGCCAUCAUCCGAACUUGCCACAGAUUGAAAUUUGUCUCACCAUCGAACUUCUCAAUUUCAAACCUUGUUGCUCCGGGCUGAUCUAUGAAAGUUAAACUAGCUCUGAUACCACUUGUUAGGAUCGUUCCGAUUAAGCAACGAACAAGUAAAAAUAGUAGAAGAAAUUGAGAAGAUGAACACACAAAUUUAACGUGGAAAAACCCCUCAAAAGAGGAUAAAAAACCACGGGCAAAGAUAAUUUUACUAUAAUGGCAAAAGAAUGAAGAGUACAAAAGAUGGAGAUAAAAACUAAACCCCGAAAACUCGAAAAACAAAGAACCCUCAAACGUAAACACAAAAUUCUCUGAAUGUGUUAUGAGUUCUAAUCUAAUGGGUGUCUCUUAAUUCUAAGAUUGUAAAGGAGCCUAUUUAUAGGCUAAAUUAGUAAGUCAAAUAAACUAUACUAAUAAAUGCUAAAUAUAUUAUACUAAUAAAUACUAAAUCUUCUAGAAAGAAAAUAUAUUUUUGUUUAACUUGACUUGCAAGCAAUCUCUUAGAAUUUGGGUCACACAAUUCUAACACAAAGCUACCAAUUACAAUGCGGCUGCAUUUUUACCCUUUGGAUUGGGACCUCGAACUUGUGUUGGUAUGACCUUUGCAACCACAGAAACCAAGAUUGCUCUCUCCAUGAUCCUACAACGCUACGCUAUUACACUUUCCCCUGCCUAUGUCCACUCACCAAUACCUGUAAUUAGCCUUCAACCACAACAUGGAAUUCAAGUAAUACUCAAGUCGCUGCAUAGCGAUGCUUGAUGUUUCAUCGUUGUUGUUAUCAACAACCUGGAAAAGAUGGGUUUGAAUGCACUUAGCACGUAUUAUCCUUUAUUUUUAAGAAUUAAGGGUUAUGAAUGCUUUAGGCAUUAUAUAAAAUAAUCUACAUAACCAUUAGAAAUUUAGAGUUUAAUAAAAAUUUUCUAUUUAAUAAGUC